UGAAAAGUCAACAGAUUAACACCUUUCACUUUUUCACCAACUAUUUAAUUAUCUCAGCUCUGUGAAUUCAGAUUGUUUUUGCAAAUCAAUGUUUGCUCUUUCUAAUUGUCCGUUUUAGAGUAGAUAAGGACAGGAGUACAGUUCAACAAUAUUCACACCCAUAUAUCCCUUGGGGUUGGUGUGGUAAUACCAAUUGUUCUCAACUUUGGAGCUUUUCAGGUUAGGUUCAGCGUUGCAUGGCAGUAGCUGAUCGCUAGGCCACGGCAGUGUCGUUGCGUCAGCUUUAUUCUCCACUGAGGCUUUACGCUAAUUCACUGCAUCCGAUCCUCCAGCAAGGCGCUCAAUGGCCCCGCUCACUGGCUCCAAAGGCCAAACAUUUCUCCCUUUGUUCCCUCGAGAGAGGCUGGAUUUAAAGGGUUGGCAAGGGAAGGGAAUGAUAUUCAGCAAUUUUCUUUUUUUUUUUUUUUUGCUAUUGCUAUUGUUGAAGUGAAUGAAGUUCACCACCACUUUUAAAUCUUUAGCGACAAUCUGGUAGAGUAGCGUACGUAACUAAUAAGAAUGUGUAUUUGCGUAUCACUGACCUGGGAUAAGACACAGGGAUUCACUUUGGCUUUGGUGAGAGAUUAGUCUUUUUUAGUUGCUAUCCCUCUUUAACAGCUCUCACUGUGGGCGUGUGGAUCGAAGUGAGAAAUAGACCGAGGCUGUGUGAAAGCCAGCCCUCAUUUUAGUUAUGGGAAUCACGUAAUGUUGAGAUACAGAUUUAUCAGGUACACUGAUUCAUAUCAAUCACUCGUUUUGAACUACAAACACACACAUUACUAGAGACUAGGUUUAUGCUCAUGAAAUAUUGAUCCCAUAAGAAAACAUUCUCACUGUUUAGGAACUUUUGUUCCUGUGUUGAGUAUAUGUCAUUUUUCUGACUCAGUAUUCAAUGUGGCACUUAAGCAAAAAAAUCAAAACAAAACAAAACUGGCAUUUUGAAAUAUUAUUAAUGUUGUUC
Astatotilapia calliptera (eastern happy) is the source of this 1000-nucleotide long non-coding RNA. The record is from Ensembl. NCBI's taxonomy places the organism in Eukaryota, Metazoa, Chordata, Actinopteri, Cichliformes, Cichlidae.